RNAcentral lists this ribosomal RNA (497 nucleotides) under uncultured bacterium. RNAcentral describes it as "partial 16S ribosomal RNA". It matches the Rfam family "Bacterial small subunit ribosomal RNA", at positions 28 to 507 of the family's 1533-position model. The record is from RNAcentral.
GAUGAACGCUGGCGGCGUGCCUAAUACAUGCAAGUCGAGCGAACGGACGAGAAGCUUGCUUCUCUGAUGUUAGCGGCGGACGGGUGAGUAACACGUGGAUAACCUACCUAUAAGACUGGGAUAACUUCGGGAAACCGGAGCUAAUACCGGAUGAUAUUUUGAACCGCAUGGUUCAAAAGUGAAAGACGGUCUUGCUGUCACUUAUAGAUGGAUCCGCGCUGCAUUAGCUAGUUGGUAAGGUAACGGCUUACCAAGGCAACGAUGCAUAGCCGACCUGAGAGGGUGAUCGGCCACACUGGAACUGAGACACGGUCCAGACUCCUACGGGAGGCAGCAGUAGGGAAUCUUCCGCAAUGGGCGAAAGCCUGACGGAGCAACGCCGCGUGAGUGAUGAAGGUCUUCGGAUCGUAAAACUCCGUUAUUAGGGAAGAACAUAUGUGUAAGUAACUGUGCACAUCUCGACGGUACCUAAUCAGAAAGCCACGGCUAACUACGUG